GAGUUUGAUCCUGGCUCAGGAUGAACGCUGGCGGCGUGCCUAAUACAUGCAAGUCGAGCGGUAAGGCUACUUCGGUAGUACACGAGCGGCGGACGGCUGAGUAACACGUAGGAACGUACCCCAAAGUGAGGCAUAAGCACCAGAAAUGGUGUCUAAUACCGCAUGUGAUCUUCGGAUUAAAGCUUCGGCGCUUUGGGAACGGCCUGCGCAUGAUUAGCUUGUUGGUGAGGUAAUAGCUCACCAAGGCGACGAUCAUUAGCUGGUCUGAGAGGAUGACCAGCCAGACUGGGACUGAGAACGGCCCAGACUCCUACGGGAGGCAGCAGUAGGGAAUUUUCCACAAUGGGCGAAAGCCUGAUGGAGCAACGCCGCGUGCAGGAUGAAGGCCUCGGUUGUAAACUGCUUUAUACGUGAAGAUAUGACGGUAGCAUAUGAAUAAGGAUACGGCUAACUCCGUGCCAGCCGCCGCCGUAAU
Molecule: ribosomal RNA, 475 nt
Filed under: uncultured bacterium
Lineage: Bacteria
Description: bacterial SSU rRNA
Rfam family: Bacterial small subunit ribosomal RNA
Source: RNAcentral